UACUUUGAUAUGUUAUAAUCGAUGUUAUUGUCACAAAUGCGGGAUCAGCUAUGUCCGAAAGCUUGAUCAGGGCCCGGGAACAAUAGUCGAUCGUGUUUAUUGUGUUGAAACAAUUUAUCGGAACUUGAAUAUGAAAAUAAAUUCUUAUUAUCAUCAUGAUUGCUUUUAGAAAAAAGAAACAUAUUUAUUUGUAAAAACUACAAACUUUCUUGAAUUUUGGUUUCUUCCUUUCCUUUUGGCUAUCUGGGGAUUUGAGCGGGAGGUGAUUUUCAUCGCUUCCCAGUUUGCUUUUGAUGUACUUGUGGAUUCGGUCCAUGAAUGGCUCGUAGAGGGAGAGGUCGCUUCCUAUUUGUCGAAGAACGUAAUCUGAAAUCGCAUGUGGCCAGGGCGGUAAGUUAUCGUAAGUCUCAAUCUCUUCUGCGGUUAGCUGUGCAUUGAAAUCGAUGGAGGGAGAUGGUAGUGUGAGAGACGGAGAGGCUGGGGGCUUUAGUGUAUAGAUCAAAAGAUCAUCUGGAUGAGGUGAAGAAUCCGUUGAGCUCAUGAUAUUCUUUUCGAUAUAGUUAAAGUCUUUGGAGGCUCUUUGGAUUUUU
This 590-nucleotide long non-coding RNA is filed under the name Brassica napus (rape). RNAcentral's name for it is "long non-coding RNA (BNAP_LNC014670)". The record is from RNAcentral. Lineage: Eukaryota; Viridiplantae; Streptophyta; Magnoliopsida; Brassicales; Brassicaceae.